This 477-nucleotide ribosomal RNA is filed under the name uncultured bacterium. RNAcentral describes it as "partial 16S ribosomal RNA". It matches the Rfam family "Bacterial small subunit ribosomal RNA", at positions 30 to 507 of the family's 1533-position model. The record is from RNAcentral.
AUUGAACGCUGGCGGCAUGCCUUACACAUGCAAGUCGAACGGUAACAGGUUAAGCUGACGAGUGGCGCGCGGGCGAGUAAUGUAUCGGAACGUGCCCAGUCGUGGGCGUUAACUGCUCGAAAGAGCAGCUAAUACCGCAUACGACCUGAGGGUGAAAGCGGGGGAUCGCAAGUCCUCGCGCGAUUGGAGCGGCGGGUUCCCGAUUAGGUAGUUGGUGGGGUAAAGGCUCACCAAGGCGACGAUCUGUAGCUGGUCUGAGAGGGUGACCAGCCACACUGGAACUGAGACACGGCCCAGACUCCUACGGGAGGCAGCAGUGGGGAAUUUUGGACAAUGGGCGCAAGCCUGAUCCAGCCAUGCCGCGUGCGGGAAGAAGGCCUUCGGGUUGUAAACCGCUUUUAUCAGGGAAGAAAAGGUUCUGGCUAAUACCUGGGACUCAUGACGGUACCUGAAGAAUAAGCACCGGCUAACUACGUG